UAGGGAAUUUUCCACAAUGGACGAAAGUCUGAUGGAGCAACGCCGCGUGCAGGAUGAAGGGUUUCGGCUCGUAAACUGCUUUUGUCUGUGACGAUUAUGACGGUAGCAGACGAAUAAGGAUCGGCUAACUCCGUGCCAGCAGCCGCGGUCAUACGGAGGAUCCAAGCGUUAUCCGGAAUUACUGGGCGUAAAGAGUUGCGUAGGUGGCAUUGUAAGUUUGUAGUGAAAGCGUGGGGCUCAACCCCAUAUC
RNAcentral lists this ribosomal RNA (250 nucleotides) under uncultured bacterium. Its description in RNAcentral is "partial 16S ribosomal RNA". It matches the Rfam family "Bacterial small subunit ribosomal RNA", at positions 355 to 621 of the family's 1533-position model. The record is from RNAcentral.